This 1419-nucleotide unclassified non-coding RNA is filed under the name Stegodyphus dumicola. RNAcentral describes it as "gRAM domain-containing protein 4-like, transcript variant X2". The record is from RNAcentral. Lineage: Eukaryota; Metazoa; Arthropoda; Arachnida; Araneae; Eresidae.
UAAGGGGUUGAUUGAAAUUAUUUAUGUUAUGAUUAUACAUUUUACAAAUCUGUAUUUUUUAUUUAAUUAGGUUGCGAAGAUUUGUACGAAAAGAGAAGCAUACUGUGGAUAAGACUAAAUUAUGUGAUAUAGGCGAAGGAUCAGGGAUGAGUAUUAUAGUUGAAAAAGAAGACAGUAUUGAUGUAGCAAAAGAUACAGAAGAAGAAAAAGAAAUUCAUUCUGAAACAACUCCUGUACAACCUGAGGCUUUACCCUUUCCACCUGUUGAAAAGCCUACAGGUUGGUUUGGAUAUUUAAAGUCAUGGAUACUUUUGCAUUUUUCUGAGCUUAUUGAAGAUUUUACUGAAACAGCUAUUGAAGAUGAUGAUAGUGGUGAAGAUGAUCCAGAAGGAGAUCCCUUAACAGUUCGCAAGCUGAAAGACAAUUUGGUGAGAUUUAGCAAUGCCACAAAGCCAGUUUCAAAUUUUGCAGAAGGUAUAAUAUCAUUGCUAAGAUGGAACUCUCCUGGAACAACAAUGUUGGCAUUUUGUGUAUAUAUGUAUACUGUAUACCAUGGCUGGCUUCUUCCACUUCUACUUUUCCUUGCUAUUAGUCAAUUGACUCUUAACUAUAUAAGGGGCUGGUUCUCCUCACCACAUGUUACUCGAAAGCAAGAACAUGAAGAAGGGGAUAUGGGUGUAUCUGAUAAAUUCCAGUUAGUACUUCAUGUUGCAAGAAAAGUUCAGAACCAAUUGGGUCACAUGGCUAAUUGCUUGGAAAAAAUUAAGAAUUUAAUGCUCUGGCAACAGCCUGAAGUAACUGGACACCUGUAUUUUGUACUGGUUGUUGGAUUCAUUUCUUCAUGCAUUUUCCCUGCUCAUCAGCUGUUUACUGUUCUAGCUUUUUACUUAGGUGUGAAGAUGUUUAUCAUAGAUUAUUUGUUUUAUCGAUUUCCAAGAGUGCAGCAGAAGCAUGAUACUACUGCUAGGCUAUGGAGAUCUUUGCCAACUGAUGCACAGCUUGAAAGAAAGCAUAACCGAGCUGAACUGGAUAAACUUGUGGUAAAUCAAGGUACCAGCCCAGGUGCAUCUCUGUCCUCUGAAAAUCAGAAUUUCUGCGAACUGUUCAAUUUACCUCCAACAGAAACACCACUGCCCACCUGGCAUAGUGGUAGGAGAUGCACUCUUAUUAAUAAGGACAAGUCUUUGACUGCAGCUUUCAAGAAUGGCCGUCUUUAUUUGACAAACAGCUUGGAAUUAAUCUUGGUUUUAAAUUGGCUUUCUCUCCAGUUUCCUAUGUUUUGAAAGGUCCAAAUCAAUUACACCAAAGAAUUUGGUCUUGGCAUUAAGAAACAUAAAUAAAGUCGAAAAGGCAAAACCAUACCCUUGGAUACCAGGUGGUGGAAUGGCUAUUGAAGUAACAAUGAUUGCUCCUGAAAAA